RNAcentral lists this ribosomal RNA (598 nucleotides) under uncultured bacterium. RNAcentral's name for it is "bacterial SSU rRNA". It matches the Rfam family "Bacterial small subunit ribosomal RNA", at positions 921 to 1533 of the family's 1533-position model. The record is from RNAcentral.
CCGCACAANCGGUGNGCAUGUGGUUUAAUUCGANAUANGNCCAGACCCUACCAACCCUUGACAUGUCUGUCGCGAGUGUAGAAACUAGACUUUUCGGUUCGGCCGGACAGAACACAGGUGCUGCAUGGCUGUCGUCAGGCUCGUGUCGUGAGAUGUUGGGUUAAGUCCCGCAACGAGCGCAACCCCUACUUUUAGUUGCCAUCAGGUCAUGCUGGGCACUCUGAAAGAACUGCCAGUGAUAAGCUGGAGGAAGGUGGGGAUGACGUCAAGUCCUCAUGGCCCUUACGGGUUGGGCUACACACGUGCUACAAUGGUAGUGACAAUGAGAUGCAAGGUGGCGACGCUAAGCUAAACUCAAAAAUCUACCUCAGUUCGGAUUGCACUCUGCAACUCGAGUGCAUGAAGCUGGAAUCGCUAGUAAUCGUAGAUCAGCGUGCUACGGUGAAUACGUUCCCGGGUCUUGUACACACCGCCCGUCACACCAUGGAAGUUGGUUCUACCUUAAAGCAGAUUGCUAACCGCAAGGAGGCGUUUGACCAAGGUAUAGUCAGCGACUGGGGUGAAGUCGUAACAAGGUAACCGUAAGACUGGAGAUCUG